This 114-nucleotide ribosomal RNA is filed under the name Acanthosepion pharaonis. Lineage: Eukaryota; Metazoa; Mollusca; Cephalopoda; Sepiida; Sepiidae. The record is from RNAcentral.
UUACGGUCAAAUCACGCUGAAACACCGGUUCUCGUACGAUCACCGAAGUUAAGCAGCGUAGAGCCAGGUCAGUAUUUAGAUGGGGGACCGCUUGGGAACACCUGGUACUGUAAG